This 28-nucleotide small RNA is filed under the name Bombyx mori (domestic silkworm). Its description in RNAcentral is "ovarian small RNA-30336". Lineage: Eukaryota; Metazoa; Arthropoda; Insecta; Lepidoptera; Bombycidae. The record is from RNAcentral.
UGAAAACUGAAACAGGUUGAACGCUUGC